Molecule: ribosomal RNA, 1553 nt
Filed under: Cutibacterium sp.
Lineage: Bacteria; Bacillati; Actinomycetota; Actinomycetes; Propionibacteriales; Propionibacteriaceae
Description: bacterial SSU rRNA
Rfam family: Bacterial small subunit ribosomal RNA
Source: RNAcentral
CUACCGUGACUUCAGGGAACAAACCAAGUUACGUAGAGUUUGAUCAUGGCUCAGGACGAACGCUGGCGGCGUGCUUAACACAUGCAAGUCGAACGGAAAGGCCCUGCUUUUGUGGGGUGCUCGAGUGGCGAACGGGUGAGUAACACGUGAGUAACCUGCCCUUGACUUUGGGAUAACUUCAGGAAACUGGGGCUAAUACCGGAUAGGAGCUCCUGCUGCAUGGUGGGGGUUGGAAAGUUUCGGCGGUUGGGGAUGGACUCGCGGCUUAUCAGCUUGUUGGUGGGGUAGUGGCUUACCAAGGCUUUGACGGGUAGCCGGCCUGAGAGGGUGACCGGCCACAUUGGGACUGAGAUACGGCCCAGACUCCUACGGGAGGCAGCAGUGGGGAAUAUUGCACAAUGGGCGGAAGCCUGAUGCAGCAACGCCGCGUGCGGGAUGACGGCCUUCGGGUUGUAAACCGCUUUCGCCUGUGACGAAGCGUGAGUGACGGUAAUGGGUAAAGAAGCACCGGCUAACUACGUGCCAGCAGCCGCGGUGAUACGUAGGGUGCGAGCGUUGUCCGGAUUUAUUGGGCGUAAAGGGCUCGUAGGUGGUUGAUCGCGUCGGAAGUGUAAUCUUGGGGCUUAACCCUGAGCGUGCUUUCGAUACGGGUUGACUUGAGGAAGGUAGGGGAGAAUGGAAUUCCUGGUGGAGCGGUGGAAUGCGCAGAUAUCAGGAGGAACACCAGUGGCGAAGGCGGUUCUCUGGGCCUUUCCUGACGCUGAGGAGCGAAAGCGUGGGGAGCGAACAGGCUUAGAUACCCUGGUAGUCCACGCUGUAAACGGUGGGUACUAGGUGUGGGGUCCAUUCCACGGGUUCCGUGCCGUAGCUAACGCUUUAAGUACCCCGCCUGGGGAGUACGGCCGCAAGGCUAAAACUCAAAGGAAUUGACGGGGCCCCGCACAAGCGGCGGAGCAUGCGGAUUAAUUCGAUGCAACGCGUAGAACCUUACCUGGGUUUGACAUGGAUCGGGAGCGCUCAGAGAUGGGUGUGCCUCUUUUGGGGUCGGUUCACAGGUGGUGCAUGGCUGUCGUCAGCUCGUGUCGUGAGAUGUUGGGUUAAGUCCCGCAACGAGCGCAACCCUUGUUCACUGUUGCCAGCACGUUAUGGUGGGGACUCAGUGGAGACCGCCGGGGUCAACUCGGAGGAAGGUGGGGAUGACGUCAAGUCAUCAUGCCCCUUAUGUCCAGGGCUUCACGCAUGCUACAAUGGCUGGUACAGAGAGUGGCGAGCCUGUGAGGGUGAGCGAAUCUCGGAAAGCCGGUCUCAGUUCGGAUUGGGGUCUGCAACUCGACCUCAUGAAGUCGGAGUCGCUAGUAAUCGCAGAUCAGCAACGCUGCGGUGAAUACGUUCCCGGGGCUUGUACACACCGCCCGUCAAGUCAUGAAAGUUGGUAACACCCGAAGCCGGUGGCCUAACCGUUGUGGGGGAGCCGUCGAAGGUGGGACUGGUGAUUAGGACUAAGUCGUAACAAGGUAACCGACGUAACUUGGUUUGUUCCCUGAAGUCACGGU